GAUGAACGCUGACAGCAUGCUUAACACAUGCAAGUCUUUGGCGAAGCUGUGCUUGCACAGCCUAGCCAAGGCGGACGGGUGAGUAACGCGUAAGGAACUUGCCCUGCAGUCAGGGAUAACAGACGGAAACGACUGAUAAGACCUGGUAAAGUCAGGCGGACUCAUGUCCAGCCUGAUGAAAAGAGCUGCUGCAGGAGAGCCUUGCGUCCUAUUAGCUUGUUGGUGGGGGAACGGCCCACCAAGGCGAUGAUAGGUAGCCGGCCUGAGAGGGUGGACGGCCACAAGGGGACUGAGAUACGGCCCUUACUCCUACGGGAGGCAGCAGUGGGGAAUAUUGGACAAUGGGGGCAACCCUGAUCCAGCAAUUCUGUGUGCACGAUGAAGGUUUUCGGAUUGUAAAGUGCUUUCAGCAGGGAAGAAAAAAAUGACGGUACCUGCAGAAGAAGCGACGGCUAAAUACGUG
This 463-nucleotide ribosomal RNA is filed under the name uncultured bacterium. RNAcentral's name for it is "partial 16S ribosomal RNA". It matches the Rfam family "Bacterial small subunit ribosomal RNA", at positions 28 to 507 of the family's 1533-position model. The record is from RNAcentral.